AUGGACCAAUGAUGUAAUAAGAAAUAAACUGCGUUAUCUAUCUGCAAUUUCCCAAAUGGAAUUGAAGAUUAAUUUGUCUUCCUGAGGGUCCUGU
Coffea eugenioides is the source of this 94-nucleotide small nucleolar RNA. RefSeq annotates it as small nucleolar RNA snoR27. Lineage: Eukaryota; Viridiplantae; Streptophyta; Magnoliopsida; Gentianales; Rubiaceae. The record is from RefSeq and is a predicted model, not a curated record. The transcript has a single exon.